CUACGUGCCAGCAGCCGCGGUAAUACGUAGGGUGCAAGCGUUAAUCGGAAUUACUGGGCGUAAAGAGUGCGCAGGCGGUUUUGCAAGACCGAUGUGAAAUCCCCGGGCUUAACCUGGGAACUGCAUUGGUGACUGCAAGGCUAGAGUGUGUCAGAGGGAGGUGGAAUUCCGCAUGUAGCAGUGAAAUGSGUAGAUAUGCGGAGGAACACCGAUGGCGAAGGCAGCCUCCUGGGAUAACACUGACGCUCAUGCACGAAAGCGUGGGGAGCAAACAGGAUUAGAUACCCUGGUAGUCCACGCCCUAAACGAUGUCUACUAGUUGUCGGGGAUUAAUUUCCUUGGUAACGCAGCUAACGCGUGAAGUAGACCGCCUGGGGAGUACGGUCGCAAGAUUAAAACUCAAAGGAAUUGACGGGGACCCGCACAAGCGGUGGAUGAUGUGGAUUAAUUCGAUGCAACGCGAAAAACCUUAC
Molecule: ribosomal RNA, 473 nt
Filed under: uncultured bacterium
Lineage: Bacteria
Description: bacterial SSU rRNA
Rfam family: Bacterial small subunit ribosomal RNA
Source: RNAcentral